AGUCGAGCGGUAGCACAGGAGAGCUUGCUCUCUGGGUGACGAGCGGCGGACGGGUGAGUAAUGUCUGGGAAACUGCCUGAUGGAGGGGGAUAACUACUGGAAACGGUAGCUAAUACCGCAUAACGUCGCAAGACUAAAGAGGGGGACCUUCGGGCCUCUUGCCAUCAGAUGUGCCCAGAUGGGAUUAGCUAGUAGGUGGGGUAAUGGCUCACCUAGGCGACGAUCCCUAGCUGGUCUGAGAGGAUGACCAGCCACACUGGAACUGAGACACGGUCCAGACUCCUACGGGAGGCAGCAGUGGGGAAUAUUGCACAAUGGGCGCAAGCCUGAUGCAGCCAUGCCGCGUGUGUGAAGAAGGCCUUCGGGUUGUAAAGCACUUUCAGCGAGGAGGAAGGUGGUGAGCUUAAUACGUUCAUCAAUUGACGUUACUCGCAGAAGAAGCACCGGCUAACUCCGUGCCAGCAGCCGCGGUAAUACGGAGGGUGCAAGCGUUAAUCGGAAUUACUGGGCGUAAAGCGCACGCAGGCGGUUUGUUAAGUCAGAUGUGAAAUCCCCGGGCUCAACCUGGGAACUGCAUUUGAAACUGGCAAGCUAGAGUCUCGUAGAGGGGGGUAGAAUUUCCAGGUGUACCGGUGAAAUGCGUAGAGAUCUGGAGGAAUACUCGGUGGUCGAAAGCGGCCCUCCUGGACGAAGACUGACUCUUCAUGUGCGAAAAGCGUGGGGAGCAAACAAGGAUUAGAUACCCUUGAU
RNAcentral lists this ribosomal RNA (750 nucleotides) under uncultured bacterium. RNAcentral describes it as "bacterial SSU rRNA". It matches the Rfam family "Bacterial small subunit ribosomal RNA", at positions 60 to 791 of the family's 1533-position model. The record is from RNAcentral.